AUUGAACGCUGGCGGCAGGCCUAACACAUGCAAGUCGAACGAGUGGCGGACGGGUGAGUAAUGUCUGGGAAACUGCCUGAUGGAGGGGGAUAACUACUGGAAACGGUAGCUAAUACCGCAUACCAUCAGAUGUGCCCAGAUGGGAUUAGCUUGUUGGGGGGGUAACGCCUCACCAAGGCGCAGAUCCCUAGCUGGUCUGAGAGGAUGACCAGCCACACUGGAACUGAGAAACGGUCCAGACCCCGAGUGGAGGCAGCAGUGGGGAAUAUUGCACAAUGGGCGCAAGCCUGAUGCAGCCAUGCCGCGUGUAUGAAGAAGGCCUUCGGGUUGUAAAGUACUUUCAGCGGGGAGGCGUUACCCGCAGAAGAAGCACCGGCUAACUCCGUGCCAGCAGCCGCGUAAUUC
This 405-nucleotide ribosomal RNA is filed under the name uncultured bacterium. Its description in RNAcentral is "partial 16S ribosomal RNA". It matches the Rfam family "Bacterial small subunit ribosomal RNA", at positions 30 to 526 of the family's 1533-position model. The record is from RNAcentral.